GAGUUUGAUCUUGGCUCAGAUUGAACGCUGGCGGCAUGCCUAACACAUGCAAGUCGAACGGCAGCACAGCAGUAGCAAUACUGUGGGUGGCGAGUGGCGGACGGGUGAGUAAUGCAUCGGGACCUACCUGAACGUGGGGGAUAACGUAGGGAAACUUACGCUAAUACCGCAUACGUCCUACGGGAGAAAGCGGGGACCUUCGGGCCUCGCGCGGUCAGACGGACCGAUGUUCGAUUAGCUAGUUGGUAAGGUAAUGGCUUACCAAGGCGACGAUCGAUAGCUGGUCUGAGAGGAUGAUCAGCCACACUGGAACUGAGACACGGUCCAGACUCCUACGGGAGGCAGCAGUGGGGAAUAUUGGACAAUGGGCGCAAGCCUGAUCCAGCAAUGCCGCGUGUGUGAAGAAGGCCUUCGGUUGUAA
Molecule: ribosomal RNA, 421 nt
Filed under: uncultured bacterium
Lineage: Bacteria
Description: bacterial SSU rRNA
Rfam family: Bacterial small subunit ribosomal RNA
Source: RNAcentral